AUCCCCGAGGCGGCCCUGCGCCCGGGCGCGCCGGCUGGGGCUCUGGCGCUCUCGCAGGCCCCGAGGCCGACAGUCCCGGCGAGGGCGGGCGCCCCGCGCUCCAGCACCGGCUGCCUGAGCGCUCCUGGAGCAGCAAACCCCAGACUUCUUCCUCCUUCUCUCCUUCCUUCCUUCCCCCUCCCCUUAUCUUUUUCUUUUUUUAGUCUCUUUCUCCCUCUUUUUCUGCCCUGUGUCCUUUUUAUUUUUUCUCUACGACUGUUUUUGCAAGUUUGUUUCAAAAGUUCACAGCAUGCUUUCUUUUCUUUUAGACCGGGAGACAGUGAUCUCACCCACACGGUAAGAUCAAAAGUCUCCGCUCGCCCAGCCUGCGGGCUUGGGCUGGGUCCAGACGUCUCCCAGGAUGCAGAUGCGCCGCCGCUGGCCUCCCCGGCUAUAAAGCCGCCUCCAGCGCCUUUCCGCGCGCAGGAGCGCUCGGAGUUGUGGGGUACGGACCCCAGGCGGGGCAGGGAGUCCGAGGCGGGCUGCGGCGGGGCUCUCGGGCUGGCGGACUCGGGGGCUGAGGCGCCGUGCGCGUUGGGUGCCCGCGGCCGCAGAGGCCAGAACCGCUACUCCUCCAGGCCGGGGAGACGCGGCCGUGGAGCGUGAAACGCUUCUUGCAAGCGAGGAAACGGAAAACCUUAAGACCUUUGUUGGACCAACUGGGGAAGAAUUUCUUUCCUGCUCAGGCUGCUCAGCUGAUAGAGUGCUGGCCUGGAGCAGCUGAAAGACACUUUGCUGCUUUCUGGAGAAUGAAGCCACUGGGAAACCACAUAGGAGGGAAGAGAGAGACAGCUUCUCGAUGAUGUCAUCUGAACACCUGGAUCCUGCUGUGCCUGGACUUGCAGUCCCAUUGUCUACCAAUAUAGUUCAUUGAAUUCAACUUCAGCUGGAUGUCAUUCAUCUGCUUCCAGAACUUGUGUCUAAUGCAGAGCUGAAUGCAUACUCUCAGAGUUGGAAGUGGAUGCAAUCCACAAAUCUAGCACCCAAAUUUCUUUUUUCUGUUCUUUUUUUUUUUUAAUUUGAGAUGGAGUCUUGCUCUGUCACCCAGGCUGAAGUGUAGUGGCGCAAUCUCAGCUCACUGCAACCUCUGCCUCCCAGAUUCAAGCGAUCCUUCUGCCUCAGCCUCCCGAGUAGCUGGAAUUACAGGCGUGUGCCACCACGGCUGGCCUAAUUUUGGUAUUUUUAGUAGAGAUGGGGUUUCACCAUGUUGGCCAGGCUGAUAUCGAACUCCUGGCCUCAAGUGAUCUACCCCCCUUGGCCUCCCAAAGUGCUGGGAUUACAGGUGUGAACCACCAUGCCCGGCCUCAAAUUGCUUUUACAGAGGCAAGUGGCCACCGAGUCUGUGAUUGGGAUCCUCCUGUGGAGACCUGUGGAGACUCGUGGCUCACUACCUUUGAAGGCAGUGUUAGGGUAAUCUCUCCACAUUUCCCUGCUGAAAGCUCUGAGUGUUAGUAAAUUCCUUCUCAUAUUAGCUAAAAUGUAUUUUCCUGUGCCUUUUAUUCACUGAUGGGGAAUACAAGCAUUCUUUUUGAGGGUGGCCAAUGCUAGUAAUUCCCUCCAUACAGUCAGUGAUGGAUAGAGUUAACCCAUGGUUGCUGCAUGUAGUACUGUCACUUGCUGUACCACCAGGACUCAAGUUGAUGCUCAACGCAACAUUCUUUUGCAGGGCCCUUGUCCUCAGUUUCCCUUCUUUUGGGGUGGGCUGAGAGAGACAGCUUAUUCAGCAUGAAGCUGUAGUAUCUACAGUUUAGCAAAUGUCUGCGGAGCCUUUAAAGCAGUUUUUAUCAUAAUAAAAAUAUUUUAACUUAUAACCCCAGAAAGAGAUAGGCAUGGGAGUCUUUAUACAGCACAGAAAUCCAGAUGAGCAUAAUUUGAAAGUCAUUUGAAUUGUAAUGAGUAUUUUUAAUGUAAACAGGCAGGAGGAAAAACUUGCUGGGUUCUCUUGUAGCACAGACACCCAGAUAUAUGUCUUUUGAUAGUGAUAUUAAAGUGUCAAGGGUGCAUAGGAGGCUGCAGAUGUCAGCGGCAUGAAUGGGCAAGGCAAUUUCUGUGGUUGCAGGCUGGAGGUUCCAGCAGGAAUAGAAAGGCAAUCUCUGUGCUAGAUGGCCCAGGGUCACUGCAAGUCUAGCUCCUAAAUGAAAAUCAGGGACAAGAUGUGGCCUGUAACCACAGUCACUGCUCUUCGUAAGGCUGGUGGAAAGGUGAACUGGAAAGGUUUUUAGGGUUAGGGAGAUACAGGAACUCCCAAACAUCAGGCACCUGAUAGCACUCUCCACCUAACAUCUGCAUUUAUAUUGACCUAAUGCAUCUGUUCAAUUUGUCUCAUUCUUUGUGCUCACACACAUUUAUUUGAAACAAAACUUUCCAUCAUUACUAUAGGUGAAAAUCCUUGAUCACUUGCCUUGAAUACAAGAAACCAUUAUUAAAUGCAAGCUAGAUAAUUUUGCUUGUCUUACAGCCAUGAGCCUUAAGUCUGUUCCCCCCACCCCCCCCCC
Molecule: long non-coding RNA, 2534 nt
Filed under: Homo sapiens (human)
Lineage: Eukaryota; Metazoa; Chordata; Mammalia; Primates; Hominidae
Description: non-protein coding lnc-ZNF536-8:12
Source: RNAcentral